RNAcentral lists this unclassified non-coding RNA (390 nucleotides) under soil metagenome. RNAcentral describes it as "partial contains 5.8S ribosomal RNA, internal transcribed spacer 2, and large subunit ribosomal RNA". The stretch from base 1 to 121 matches the Rfam family "5.8S ribosomal RNA", at positions 36 to 154 of the family's 154-position model. The record is from RNAcentral.
AUGAAGAACGUAGCGAAAUGCGAUACUUGGUGUGAAUUGCAGAAUCCCGUGAACCAUCGAGUCUUUGAACGCAAGUUGCGCCCGAAGCCAUUAGGCCGAGGGCACGCCUGCCUGGGCGUCACACGUCGUUGCCCCCCCAUCUACUCCUUCGGGAUUGCGGGGGGCGGAUGAUGGCCUCCCGUGCGCCUCGUCGCGCGGUUGGCCUAAAUGCCAAGUCCUCGGCGACGCACGCCACGACAAUCGGUGGUUGCGAAACCUCGGUUGCCCGUCGUGUGCGGUCGUCGCGCAUCGAGGGCUCGAAAAAAUUGCCGGGCUUCGGCUCGACUUUCAACGCGACCCCAGGUCAGGCGGGGUUACCCGCUGAAUUUAAGCAUAUCAAUAAGCGGAGGA